UACAGAGGUCUCAAGCGUUGUUCGGAUUCAUUGGGCGUAAAGGGUGUGUAGGUGGCGCCGUAAGUCGGGUGUGAAAUUUCGGAGCUUAACUCCGAAACUGCAUUCGAUACUGCGGUGCUUGAGGACUGGAGAGGAGACUGGAAUUCAUGGUGUAGCAGUGAAAUGCGUAGAGAUCAUGAGGAAGACCAGUGGCGAAGGCGGGUCUCUGGACAGUUCCUGACACUGAGACGAAGGCCAGGGGAGCAAACGGG
RNAcentral lists this ribosomal RNA (251 nucleotides) under uncultured bacterium. Its description in RNAcentral is "partial 16S ribosomal RNA". It matches the Rfam family "Bacterial small subunit ribosomal RNA", at positions 524 to 776 of the family's 1533-position model. The record is from RNAcentral.